UUUUCUCCUAGAUACUUACUUCAACAUGGGUCUAAUGUAUUCUCUCCGACCACCAAUCAAUAGAACUUUCUCCUGUUUUGCCACAAAUGAUUCAAAAGCUGCAGAGCAACAACCUAGUGAAGACGACAAGCUCCCACGUUUCGCUUACCUUGUUGGAGGGUCUAAAGGAGAUCUUGAAAGCCUUUGGAGAACCCUUAGAGCAGUGUACCAUCCAAGGAACCAAUACAUUGUUCACAUGGAUCUUGAAUCACCGGUUGAUGAGAGAUUAGAGCUGGCUUCUCGCAUUGAUAAAGAUUCUAUAUAUUCUAAGAUAGGGAAUGUCUAUAUGAUAACUAAAGCUAAUCUUGUGACUUAUAAUGGACCAACUAUGGUGUCAACAACCCUUCACGCUUGUGCGAUUCUUCUUAGGAGAAACCCUAAUUGGGAUUGGUUUAUCAAUCUCAGCCCUUCGGAUUAUCCCCUUGUGACCCAAGAUGGUAAACACUUUGAUCAUAUUCUUUUCUUUUUGUUCUUGAUCUUCCUCUUGUUGGAGUUUGACAAACACUGUUUUAUGUUUGAAGAUCUGAUUUAUACGUUUUCAACUGUGGACCGGAACCUCAACUUUAUCGAGCAGACAACUGACUUAGGCUGGAAAUAGUGAGAUUCAUCUCUCUCAAUGCUUCUGAAUUCUUGAUUUUUUUUUUUUAUUUUAAUUUAUUAUUAUAAUGAAUGUUUCUUGGUGUCGCACGGUGAAGCAAGUGGCGGGCAAUGCCAUUAAUAAUUGAUCCUGGACUCUACAUGCUAAACAAAUCUGACAUUUUUGGGGUCACGCCUGGUCGAAGUUUACCAUCUGCGUUCAAGUUAUUUACCGGUCAGUACUGUUUUCUCUUAUCAUGGAGUUUUUAAAAACAGAUUACUCUGUGCUUAUUGCAAUCAAGUUUGCAACUUUUUGUCUGGUUUUGUUUUUUGUAGGAUCAGCUUGGUUUGUUUUAUCACGCCCAUUCGUGGAGUAUAUCAUUUGGGGCUGGGAUAAUUUACCAAGAACUUUGCUCAUGUAUUACACCAAUUUCGUUACUACUACUGAAGGUUACUUCCAAACAGUCAUAUGUAACGUGCCUGAGUUCUCCAAAACCGCCGUGAACCAUGAUCUUCACUACAUCUUGUGGGACAGACCACCGAAGCAGCAUCCUCGCUCGUUGUCCUUAAGAGACAUGAGACAGAUGGUUGCAAGCGGUGCUGCCUUUGGUCGGAAAUUCAGAAGAAAUGACUUGGUAUUGGAUAAGAUCGAUGAGGAGCUGCUUAACCGAACAAACGAAGGUGGUUUCACUCCCGGUGGGUGGUGCAGUGGGAAACCAGAGUGCUCGGUUGUCGAAGACGUGGCUAAGAUCACACCUGGCCCAGGGGCUGUGAGGCUCAAGGGGCUUGUAGAUAGGUUGGUUGAAGAAGCUAAAUCAGGAAAGAAUCAGUGUGAAUAGAAUCAAUUUCUUUUGGAUGGAGAAAUCAUUGCUUGGAGAGAGUCUUGCAGCUUCAGGCUAUAUAUAUAAUACAACAUAGAUUGAUUGUAAGCUUUCAAAUAGGUUAAAGAUUACUUGUAUGUCAAGCAAACUAGUGAUUUAUUAGGGCUUACAAUAAGUACAUUAUACAAAUACAAAGAUUAUAUAUUCUUCUAUAGUAGCAACAAUGUUUACACUCUUCCUACUCUCCCCUUCCCCCAAAAUUGUUUCCUAUCAAUUAAAUCAACAAUGAGAAAUCUCUGGAAAUUACCAUUUUACCAAAUACUCCCACGUAAAAACAACUCAACCAGAGAACGUCAAAUUGAUAUAGGCCCAAAAAGUCCAUUAGCCCAAACACUUAACCCAAAUCAUAGCUUUCUUGUUCAAAUUCUGUCGCCCCUUUGUAACCUAAAAACUCUGUUACAACGAAGCUCUCCUCAAACGAGUCUUUUGGACAGGCUAUAUACAAUUUAGUUGAGUGUGUUAAAAGGUUCGUUGAAACUUGAAAGUGAGAAGAAAAUUCUGAGAAGACAUUUGUCAAUUAUGAGCCUUCCAAUUCUCUUGAUUCAGGUAUGCAUGGAUCUUCGGAAAUAUAAUCGUUUUGUAGGUUUACAUGAUAUUUACCAUACAUUUCAGUAUAAAAAAAUUCAAUACCAUAAGUAGUACUAGAAAUAUUGGUUUAGUGACUCAUGAGUUUGAACUUGCAGUUAACCUUCAUCAAUAUUUGAACUCAACUCCCUUACUUCUGAUUGGAGCUUUAAAGAAAACCAAAAUACAAUUUUUUUUUUUGUUGCAGUUGCAUUUGCCACUGAUCCACUUGAUCAUCAAACUUUAUCACACUUUAUACAAAGGUGGGUCUAAAAAAAAAUAAUCGUCUUGGGAAUUAUCAAUAAUUGCGUUGUACAAUAUAAUGGUAGUGAUUGCACUCCAUAAUAAAUAGAGAAAUCGUGAAUUGAAAGAAAAAUUUGAAGACGAGAAUGGCAUACCAGUCUUGCUGCCAAGUCCCCUUAUAGCUUAGAAUUGAAUGAGUGCAUAUUAAACAAGUCAAAGUGUGUUGGAGACUAUUUUUAAGUAGCUCGUCUUCUCAAAUUUCUUUCCAUAAUUAUCGCAUGCAAAGGCAAAGCAAAGUGUGUUGGAGAUCAUUUCCUCUUUCCAUUGAUGAUGCCCUCCUUUCCAGAAAUAUAUUUUAUUAUUCUAUUGCUUUGUAACUCCAACGUACAUUAGUUGUUACUCAAGAUGGCAAAGCAAGCAAAAUUUGAUAUGAUUGUUUUCAAAGUAGGAGUCGAGUGGCGACAAUGUUCAAGUGAAUACAUGUAAAAAUGUAAGGAUUAAUUGUCAUCUAUUUACACAUGAGACAGUUAUAUAUUCUAGUGCAACCUUACCUAACUUGGAUAGGAGCCAAUAUCACCACGCUGAGUUGGGUAUAAUCUUCCAUGCUUAAAUAGUUUAUUUAUUGAAUGCAAUUAUACAAGUUUAAAAUACAGCCUCCAAUUUACAAACCUCAGAACCAUAGGUCUAAGAGAUUCGCAUCAAAUAGUUAGCAAUGUAAAGAUGUUUCAGUUUUUAGUAAAGUACAUUAAGGGAUAGUGGUUAGAAAGUGGUAUAAAUAUCGUUAUUAUCCCAUAAUACAGAUUUGUAAUUUAUCAUAUUCAUUUUAUCAAAAACAAAACUUAUCAUAUUUCAUGUAUUUCUCUUCUUCAAUUAAUUUGUUUCUAUUAUUCAUGCCUUCGUAUUUGCAGAUAUAAAUUCGGUAACAUAUAAUUUUAAACAAAUGCGUAAUAAGAUAAAUGAAGGAAUUAGGUUAUUGCGAUUAUAAAAACAUUUCAAACAAAUUAACAUAAUCCAACGGGAGACAAGUUCAUAGAACGGAUACACCAUUUUUAACACACAGUAACGUGUAGUGACAUUCAUAGAAGAAAAUAAUUAUCAAUUCGAUUUUGAAAAUUGAAAACGAACUUAGAUUACGCAACAUAUAAAGAAAAUUUAGUGUGUUAAAAGUUUCAUAUCUGCAAUAUUAAGAUGAGUGUUGGUCAAGCAACAUGGUAGAAAAAUGGCCAAAAUAAGGAAAAAAUACUAAAGUCAAAAGUCUGACUUAAUUUUGAAGCUUUUGGGUUUAAUAUGGUGAGGAAGGUGAAUAUAAAAACCCGGGGAUCUGCUAUUAAGAUGAGUGUUUGUCAAGCAACAUAUUAUAAAAUGGCCAAAAUAAGUAAAAAAAAAUAUAAAAGUCAAAAGUCUGACUUAAUUUUGAAGCUUUUUGGGUAAAUACCAAAAACUAAAUUCUCGUGUCUUCCAAAAUAGUUUUUAGUAUGUUUCGGUUUAGUGUAGUGUAGAAUUUUGCCUGAUUGAUACUCCAUAGCUUAACAAAACCAUCAUCGCUACCGCUGGCUAACAAUGUUGGAUCUGCUGAUGGAAUGUCGAUGGACCAUACACGUUUCUCGUGCUCCUUCAUCUUCGUAACCAACAAAUAAUAAAUCUUUGUUAAAGGUUUUGUUCCGUUUUUUUUUUGCAUUGAUUAAUGAAGUUAUAUUAGUUUCAAUACCGAACUAACCUGAACCACGCCUUCAAAGUUACUUGACGCAAUUUGGCUUUUGAUAUAGCUGUUCCAACAUAUACCACUUAGCUUAGACCGGCAGGCUAGUUCCACCACAUCGUUUAUUAUUAUUAUCGACUCACAUUCAAAUGUUUUGCUUUCUUGUUGACACCAGUCGUGGCGUAAAACAAUAAAUUGAUGAAAUUCAGGCAUAACCGUGGUCCAUACGUACCUAAUUGUGCCUAAUUAUACCUAAUAUAUUGAUUCAAUUACCAAUUACUAUAUGACUUGUUUUUCUGAUCCAGUUAUUGCACUCAACCAGGAAUAAAGUCGUUUUCCUACGCUCAAUUUAUUACGACUGUAGUUGUUUAUAUUAUUCAUCUAUCAAAGACUAGUGAAUCAUCCAAUUCAAUCGGUUAUAUAAUUGAAUGAAAGAUUUAUAACUCAGAUACAUAUAUUUAUUGAAUUUUUUUAUAGAUUGGAUAUAAGGUGAAAAAAAUAGUUUUAAAAAAAUAUUAAUAGCUUGUAACGGUUUAUCUUUAAUAAAUUGUAAGAAUCUUAAACUUUAUCUCGCUUUGUAGCCUCUUUGUAAUGGUUUAACUUUAAGCUUAACAAAUUGUAUGAACCUUAAGAUUUAUCUCACUUUGUAACUUCUUUCUAAAAAGGUUUUUCGACUCAGCAUCAUAACUUGUAACGGUUUAUCUUUAAGCUUAACAAAUUGUAUGAAUUAAGCUUUAUCUGUUACAUGUAAACAUUUUUAAUCAUUUUUAAAAGACUUACUCACAUUUUCUUUCUUUUCACUUUCAGUUUUAUUUCAGUUUUGUGAUGACUGAUGAUCGUUUCCCAAGGGAAAAAAUAUAAUUACUUACAUUCAUGUAUACUAAAUGUUUUUUUCCUUUGGAAAAUUUAUAUGACUAAAUCGUUUUCAAGUGGUUCUGGGACGAAACUAAUAUUAGAUGCUAUGAUUUCAGGUCUGAGGGAUUACGGGUUUUGGCCCAAAACCUCCUGAUAAUCUAAAAGAAAAGAAUACAGGAACGGAAUUUACUAUUUAGUGAUGAGAGAUAGGAAUUUUAUUUUCUAAAUUUCUUAUUCGUGUUGUAGUUUCAAAAAAUUGGAUAUAUCCUCUAUGAAUGCCCACCUUUUUUAGGGAAAAAAUUAUUUUUGGUAAGAGUUUUAUUAUUCGCUAGAUUAAGCAUUGUGUAAUACGUGAGAAAAUAUAUCUAUAUACUUAUUUGUGUAGUGAUUUGCUUACGUGUCGCGCUCAUAUCGAUUUUCACAGUGUUUCGCUUACGUGUUAACUCUAGAAUGAGUUUCGACUGCAAAAAGACAUUUUUACACUAUUUACCGAUUAUGUGUCAUUUUUUAUUGGUUCUUAUCUGAUGAUAUGUUAAAAAUAACUUAAAACAAACUGUUCUAAAUUAUUGUGGUUUAAUGUUUUAUUUUGCUGUCAAAUCAAACCGUUUUUAAAAUUUUAUAAAACCAAAAUUUAGUAAAAAUUUAAAAAUUAAAAAUCAAUAAAUAGAAUGUCUAAUGGAAUGAUGAUAUAUGUGAUGUCUAGAUUAAUGUAUUCGACUUCAAAUGUUUUAGUAUAAAUAUGUCCAUGAUUUCUCUCUAAUUCUCACACACCCUUUCUAAGUUGUUUAACUCUUCCUUCUUCUUCAAUUGAGUUCUUACGAUACUUAAAAAAACUAUGUCUUAAAUACAUAGAACAGUGAUUAAAAGAUUUUAAGUUAUUUAAACUAAAUUAUUUGAAUACUAAUAUGUUUUUAUCUACAUUCUUCUAUAGUGUUUCCAUGAUCAUGUCUUCAAACAUUAAAAUGUAAGAAAAUCUAAUAAAAAAUAUACUCAAUAAUAGAAAGAAAAAAACAAAUGACUUCAAACUACUAUUAGUUUUUCAAACAAUAAAAUAGAACAGUGAUCAAAAGAUUUUAAAUUAUUUAAACUAAAUUAUUUGAAUAUUAAUAUGUUUUUAUCUACAUUCUUCUAUAAUGUUUUCACGAUCAUGUCUUCAAACAUUAAAAUGUAAGAAAAUCUAAUGAAAAAUAUACUCAAUAAUAGAAAAAAAAACAAACAACUUCAAACUAUUAGUUUUUCAAACAAUAAAAUAAAAAGUUAUAUCAGCCCACGCCUUCACUUGUAACAAAAUAUUUAGAUUUCAAAAUUGAUAAACCUCAUAAUUAUGAUCUAUAUGAAAAUAAUUUUAUUAAGAUCCUGUUAAUUAACAAUUGAUUUAUAUUGCUUCGAAAAACAUAAUUAUCAUCUUAUUUUACUUUACCCUGUUUAUUUUAAUAAUUUUUAUUUAGAAAAACAUAAUUCAUUUUUUUGCCUUUUAGAAAUAACUAAGAAUAAUUUUUUUUUAUAGUAUUACAUUUACACUUGAUACGAUCUAAUUAAGAAUGAUACAUGUUACGCUCACGUUGAACGCAUUAGGAUUAUAAUAAGAUUCUCUCUUCAUCAUCUCUACUAUUCCCUAUAAUUUUCGAUUUUUAGUCGACUCAAAGAGUGUUUAAGUGUCUAUGUUCUUCACCAAACCUAUCAGACCAAAGCAGGUACAUAAAACUCUGUUAUUAAUGUCUCAUGAUCACAAAUUCCCUUCUUCAAUGGGGUAUGUAAACAUGGAGAAAUACUGGGUUUUCCUGAUCACAUGUCUUGUCUGCGUUUUUCUCCUUGCUACUUCCUUCAACAUGGGUCUAAUGUCUUCUCUCCGACCACCAAUCAAUAGAACUUUCUCCUGUUUUGCCACAAAUGAUUCAAAAGCUGCAGAGCAACAACCUAGUGAAGACGACAAGCUCCCACGUUUCGCUUACCUUGUUGGAGGGUCUAAAGGAGAUCUUGAAAGCCUUUGGAGAACCCUUAGAGCAGUGUACCAUCCAAGGAAUCAAUACAUUGUUCACAUGGAUCUUGAAUCUCCGGUUGAUGAGAGACUAGAGCUGGCUUCUCGCAUCGAUAA
This 6952-nucleotide long non-coding RNA is filed under the name Eutrema salsugineum. RNAcentral's name for it is "long non-coding RNA (ESAL_LNC000281)". The record is from RNAcentral. Lineage: Eukaryota; Viridiplantae; Streptophyta; Magnoliopsida; Brassicales; Brassicaceae.